AUUGAACGCUGGCGGCAGGCCUAACACAUGCAAGUCGAGCGGAUGAAGGGAGCUUGCUCCUGGAUUCAGCGGCGGACGGGUGAGUAAUGCCUAGGAAUCUGCCUGGUAGUGGGGGAUAACGUCCGGAAACGGGCGCUAAUACCGCAUACGUCCUGAGGGAGAAAGUGGGGGAUCUUCGGACCUCACGCUAUCAGAUGAGCCUAGGUCGGAUUAGCUAGUUGGUGGGGUAAAGGCCUACUAAGGCGACGAUCCGUAACUGGUCUGAGAGGAUGAUCAGUCACACUGGAACUGAGACACGGUCCAGACUCCUACGGGAGGCAGCAGUGGGGAAUAUUGUACAAUGGGCGAAAGCCUGAUCCAGCCAUGCCGCGUGUGUGAAGAAGGUCUUCGGAUUGUAAAGCACUUUUAGUUGGGAGGAAGGGCAGUAAGUUAAUACCUUGCUGUUUUGACGUUACCAACAGAAUAAGCACCGGCUAACUUCGUG
Molecule: ribosomal RNA, 484 nt
Filed under: uncultured bacterium
Lineage: Bacteria
Description: partial 16S ribosomal RNA
Rfam family: Bacterial small subunit ribosomal RNA
Source: RNAcentral